AUGGGAGCCAGCCUGCUGGCGAUCGCGGCAAAUCAGUCACGGAGAUAUCGACUGAUUUGCCGUCAUCGCCAGCAGGCUGGCUCCCAC
RNAcentral lists this unclassified non-coding RNA (87 nucleotides) under Pseudomonas granadensis. The record is from RNAcentral. Lineage: Bacteria; Pseudomonadati; Pseudomonadota; Gammaproteobacteria; Pseudomonadales; Pseudomonadaceae.